This 3031-nucleotide ribosomal RNA is filed under the name Listeria monocytogenes. Its description in RNAcentral is "23S ribosomal RNA". It matches the Rfam family "Bacterial large subunit ribosomal RNA". Lineage: Bacteria; Bacillati; Bacillota; Bacilli; Caryophanales; Listeriaceae. The record is from RNAcentral.
GGUUAAGUUAGAAAGGGCGCACGGUGGAUGCCUUGGCACUAGGAGCCGAAGAAGGACGGGACUAACACCGAUAUGCUUUGGGGAGCUGUACGUAAGCGUUGAUCCAGAGAUUUCCGAAUGGGGGAACCCACUAUCUUUAGUCGGAUAGUAUCCUUACGUGAAUACAUAGCGUGAGGAAGGCAGACCCAGGGAACUGAAACAUCUAAGUACCUGGAGGAAGAGAAAGAAAAAUCGAUUUCCUGAGUAGCGGCGAGCGAAACGGAAAGAGCCCAAACCAAGAAGCUUGCUUCUUGGGGUUGUAGGACACUCUAUACGGAGUUACAAAAGAAAGUUAUAAAUGAAGCGGUCUGGAAAGGCCCGCCAAAGACGGUAACAGCCCGGUAGUUGAAAUGGCUUUCCCUCCAGAGUGGAUCCUGAGUACGGCGGAACACGUGAAAUUCCGUCGGAAUCCGGGAGGACCAUCUCCCAAGGCUAAAUACUCCCUAGUGACCGAUAGUGAACCAGUACCGUGAGGGAAAGGUGAAAAGCACCCCGGAAGGGGAGUGAAACAGUUCCUGAAACCGUGUGCCUACAAGUAGUUAGAGCCCGUUAAUGGGUGAUAGCGUGCCUUUUGUAGAAUGAACCGGCGAGUUACGAUUUGUUGCAAGGUUAAGCGGAAAAAGCGGAGCCGUAGCGAAAGCGAGUCUGAAUAGGGCGCAUAAGUAACAGGUCGUAGACCCGAAACCAGGUGAUCUACCCAUGUCCAGGAUGAAGGUAAGGUAAUACUUACUGGAGGUCCGAACCCACGCACGUUGAAAAGUGCGGGGAUGAGGUGUGGGUAGCGGAGAAAUUCCAAUCGAACUUGGAGAUAGCUGGUUCUCUCCGAAAUAGCUUUAGGGCUAGCCUCGAGGUAAAGAGUCAUGGAGGUAGAGCACUGUUUGGACUAGGGGCCCUUCUCGGGUUACCGAAUUCAGAUAAACUCCGAAUGCCAUGUACUUAUACUCGGGAGUCAGACUGCGAGUGAUAAGAUCCGUAGUCGAAAGGGAAACAGCCCAGACCACCAGUUAAGGUCCCCAAAUAUAUGUUAAGUGGAAAAGGAUGUGGGGUUGCUUAGACAACCAGGAUGUUGGCUUAGAAGCAGCCACCAUUGAAAGAGUGCGUAAUAGCUCACUGGUCGAGUGACCCCGCGCCGAAAAUGUACCGGGGCUAAACAUAUUACCGAAACUGUGGAUGAACCUCUUUAGAGGUUCGUGGUAGGAGAGCGUUCUAAGGGCGGUGAAGUCAGACCGGAAGGACUGGUGGAGCGCUUAGAAGUGAGAAUGCCGGUAUGAGUAGCGAAAGAAGGGUGAGAAUCCCUUCCACCGAAUAUCUAAGGUUUCCUGAGGAAGGCUCGUCCGCUCAGGGUUAGUCGGGACCUAAGCCGAGGCCGAUAGGCGUAGGCGAUGGACAACAGGUAGAGAUUCCUGUACCAGUGCUAAUUGUUUAACCGAUGGGGUGACACAGAAGGAUAGGGAAUCGCACGAAUGGAAAUGUGCGUCCAAGCAGUGAGUGUGAGAAGUAGGCAAAUCCGCUUCUCUCNNNNNNNNNNNNNNNNNNNNNNNNNNNNNNNNNNNNNNNNNNNNNNNNNNNNNNNNNNNNNNNNNNNNNNNNNNNNNNNNNNNNNNNNNNNNNNNNNUCGAAGCAUGAGCUGUGAUGGGGAAGGAAAUUAAGUACGGAAGUUCCUGAUUUCACGCUGUCAAGAAAAGCCUCUAGGAAGAGUAGUACUGCCCGUACCGCAAACCGACACAGGUAGAUGAGGAGAGAAUCCUAAGGUGAGCGAGAGAACUCUCGUUAAGGAACUCGGCAAAAUGACCCCGUAACUUCGGGAGAAGGGGUGCUCUAUUAGGGUGCAAGCCCGAGAGAGCCGCAGUGAAUAGGCCCAGGCGACUGUUUAGCAAAAACACAGGUCUCUGCAAAACCGUAAGGUGACGUAUAGGGGCUGACGCCUGCCCGGUGCUGGAAGGUUAAGAGGAGUGCUUAGCUUCGGCGAAGGUACGAAUUGAAGCCCCAGUAAACGGCGGCCGUAACUAUAACGGUCCUAAGGUAGCGAAAUUCCUUGUCGGGUAAGUUCCGACCCGCACGAAAGGCGCAACGAUCUGGGCACUGUCUCAACGAGAGACUCGGUGAAAUUAUAGUACCUGUGAAGAUGCAGGUUACCCGCGACAGGACGGAAAGACCCCGUGGAGCUUUACUGCAACCUGAUAUGGAAUGUUUGUACCGCUUGUACAGGAUAGGUAGGAGCCGAAGAGACGUGUGCGCUAGCAUACGAGGAGGCAAUGGUGGGAUACUACCCUGGCUGUAUGACCAUUCUAACCCGCCACGCUUAGCGCGUGGGGAGACAGUGUCAGGUGGGCAGUUUGACUGGGGCGGUCGCCUCCUAAAGAGUAACGGAGGCGCCCAAAGGUUCCCUCAGAAUGGAUGGAAAUCAUUCGCAGAGUGUAAAGGCACAAGGGAGCUUGACUGCGAGACUGACAAGUCGAGCAGGGACGAAAGUCGGGCUUAGUGAUCCGGUGGUUCCGCAUGGAAGGGCCAUCGCUCAACGGAUAAAAGCUACCCCGGGGAUAACAGGCUUAUCUCCCCCAAGAGUCCACAUCGACGGGGAGGUUUGGCACCUCGAUGUCGGCUCGUCGCAUCCUGGGGCUGUAGUCGGUCCCAAGGGUUGGGCUGUUCGCCCAUUAAAGCGGCACGCGAGCUGGGUUCAGAACGUCGUGAGACAGUUCGGUCCCUAUCCGUCGCGGGCGCAGGAAAUUUGAGAGGAGCUGUCCUUAGUACGAGAGGACCGGGAUGGACACACCGCUGGUGUACCAGUUGUUCCGCCAGGAGCAUCGCUGGGUAGCUAUGUGUGGCAGGGAUAAACGCUGAAAGCAUCUAAGCGUGAAGCCCCCCUCAAGAUGAGAUUUCCCAUUUCUUCGGAAAGUAAGAUCCCUGAAAGAUGAUCAGGUAGAUAGGUUUGGAGUGGAAGUGUAGCGAUACAUGGAGCGGACAAAUACUAAUCGAUCGAGGACUUAACCAA